GUGCAAAUGGAAAUGAAAUUGUGUUUACAAUGUGCACACUGUGCACACUUCAAACUAGUCACUGGAUUCGCCAAAGUUUACCAGUGACCUGACAGCGUAUCGCUGACCUCGUCUCAUGUUUAUCAUCUAACUUUUCACUCUACGAAGCGCCAUCCGGCCGUCUGUCUCCUCUGGGUCUGCUGGGCGGAGAAAAGCUCCGACCGCACCUAUGGAAGCAGAGAGAGAUGGAGCUCGUCUGAAUAUUCAUGCCCUGGGCCCUCAGCACCACCCGAACCCCCCUAAAAUCCUCGGCGCUCUACCCCAGCGACGUGCUCCAGGUUAAGGCCAACUCCAAAAGAGACACAGGCAGGAGAGAAGAACGAAUUAGUGAGAGAGAAGAAGUCACGGAUGAAGUUGUUGCUAGCAUCUUAACGGGGGAUGACAAAGACAUGGUUUCGGUGAAUAAUGACCCGGGCUGCAUCGCAUGUACUGGUAAAGCAAAGCCUGGGGGUUUAUUAACAUCUCGGACCCCUGUCAAUCACGCGAAGGCCCGUCCCAGUGCCCAAUUAUCUUUGAAGCCGGGGCCUCUGGGUCUGGACGUGAUCAAUGAGUGCGCUCCAUCGUCGAUACGGGUGCAGAAGAAGACCUAUUGAUCAGCCAACACUUGUGGACAGCCGCUGCGAGCCGGAUAAUGUCAGAUUGAACCAGCGGAAGGUGUGUGUGUGUGUGUGUGUGUGUGUGUGUGUGUGUGUGUGUGUGUGUGUGUGUGUGUGUGUGUUGUGCAUUGGAAAAGUGAUUCUUUUGUUGAAGCUGAGAGCAGGUGCUCACAUGGAAGGAAUAGGUUCAGAUAAGAACUUUAUGUCUUCAGUAACUUGUGGUUGAAGCAUCACGGUUUGAUAUUGUUUUUAUUAGGGCUGGGCGAUAUAUCUAACGAUAUGAUCAUGCGCAUCUAGUCAGUAAAUCUGGUUCCUUGAUUAGCGCUAAAUCGCCAUCACCUGCUUUCAAAUGGAGCGGCAUUUAAUAGACAGAGCCGUAGAUCACUGACAAGGUACGCAAUAUCGCGUUGAUUAUCGAAGGCGAUUCAUCUGGGAUAAUGAACGCGAUAUUGCGUACCUUGUCAGUGAUCUACGGCUCUGUCUAUUAAAUGCCGCUCCAUUUGAAAGCAGGUGAUGGCGAUUUAGCGCUAAUCAAGGAACCAGAUUUACUGACUAGAUGCGCAUGAUCAUAUCGUUAGAUAUAUCGCCCAGCCCUAGUUUUUAUUAGUCUUAGUGAUUUCAUCCAACUCGUAAACUAUGAAACUUUGAAACUAUAAAACUAGCAAAGAAAGUUAGAAAGUGUGUUUUAGCAUGGAUGCAAAAAAAGAGCUAUUUAUGUUUGAAUUUUUACAUCACUUGUAUAAUGAUUUUAAAAAGCAUGUGUUAGUAGUGGGUGAGACAGAGCAUUUCGAAACUCCCAAUCAGUUAAACGUUGGAAAAUGAUUCACUGUCUGGAAGCGAUCCAAUCAGAUCGCGUACCACAAGUCACUGGAUUCAGCUUGGGACUUCAAAUCGUGUAUCAUUUGAUUUAGAUCGGAACUUAGGAGCAGGUUCGUGAAUCUUUUGAUUCAGAAUCAGGACGGAGCGCAUAUCACAAAUCUUUUUUCUGAAUCCUUUUUUUUUUUUUUUUUUUUUUUUUUUAUUAAACAGAACAAACAUCAAACCAUUAAUGCAAUACAGUUAUAAAAACAAAAAAGAAAGAAAGAAUACACAAAUAUAAAUCCCUUAAGAAAAUUAACCAUGGUUACAUUAUAGUAAAAGUGUAAUAGGCUUUUUUAUAACCCAGUUUUACUAAAUACCAUGGUUAAACUAUGGUUAGUGUAGUAAAACCAUGGUUAAUUUGUGGUUACCAUGUUUUAACUAUAGUAACCAUGUUUUGAAUAGAGAUUUUAGAGAUUUUGAACAUAGAGAUGCCAUUUUCACUGCUUUAGGAUUAACAUGGCUUUGGAUAUGUUUCCAUGUUGUAACUUUGAAAAACUUUGAACUUAAAAAAAAAAGAAAGAAAAGAGAAAAUUUAGAGCCAGUAUUAUUUUUGUUCAUGUACUUGAAGUUUAUCUUGCAGAAAACACAAAUUCAUUAAGUUAUAUUUUCCUGUAUUCUCUUUUUAGUAGUGAAACAAUCCAAAGAAAAGUCUUUUACAAAAUGAGACCGGAUGAACGUUGACCUGACCAGAAUUUCUGUGUGGGUUUAUUGCCAUUACAAGUGAAUGGAUUUUCCUCAGAAGAAUGACAAAAACAGCAGCUCACUUCAAUGUCUGACUUAUAAUUAUGCCUAUAAACUUUUUGUGAAAUUUGGAUUAACUCAGUCUGUUGCUUGACCUCUUUAUAUUUAAGGACAGAACUAGAUUCCAAGGUCAAGCAUUGCUUGUGAUUUUCAAGGAUGUAAAAUUUAAAAGUGACGGUGACGCUAUGACAUGUCCCUAUCAAUAUCCAGACUACUAAAUUGUCCCUAGCAAUAAAUUUGAUCAAAACAUUAAAUGUCUGUUGUCU
Cyprinus carpio (common carp) is the source of this 2503-nucleotide long non-coding RNA. The record is from Ensembl. Lineage: Eukaryota; Metazoa; Chordata; Actinopteri; Cypriniformes; Cyprinidae.